GACGAACCGUGCGAACGUUAUUCGGAAUCACUGGGCUUAAAGCGCGUGUAGGCGGAUCGGAACGUCGAUGCCUGAAAUCCCCCGGCUCAACCGGGGAACGUGGCCCGAAACGACCGGUCUCGAGGGGUGUAGGGGGGACUGGAACUUCCGGUGGAGCGGUGAAAUGCGUUGAGAUCGGAAGGAACGCCCGUGGCGAAAGCGAGUCCCUGGACGCCUGCUGACGCUGAGACGCGAAAGCUAGGGGAGCGAACGGGAUUAGAUACCCCGGUAGUCCUAGCCGUAAACGAUGAGCACUGGGUAGGGGGUCCGCCCAUGGACUCCCUGCCGCAGGGAAACCGUGAAGUGCUCCGCCUGGGGAGUAUGGUCGCAAGGCUGAA
RNAcentral lists this ribosomal RNA (377 nucleotides) under uncultured bacterium. RNAcentral's name for it is "bacterial SSU rRNA". It matches the Rfam family "Bacterial small subunit ribosomal RNA", at positions 524 to 898 of the family's 1533-position model. The record is from RNAcentral.